UGGGGAAUAUUGCACAAUGGGCGCAAGCCUGAUGCAGCGACGCCGCGUGAGGGAUGACGGCCUUCGGGUUGUAAACCUCUUUCAGCUAUGACGAAGCGCAAGUGACGGUAGUAGCAGAAGAAGGACCGGCCAACUACGUGCCAGCAGCCGCGGUAAUACGUAGGGUCCGAGCGUUGUCCGGAAUUACUGGGCGUAAAGAGCUCGUAGGUGGUUUGUCGCGUUGUCCGUGAAAACUCACAGCUUAACUGUGGGCGUGCGGGCGAUACGGGCAGACUGGAGUACUGCAGGGGAGACUGGAAUUCCUGGUGUAGCGGUGGAAUGCGCAGAUAUCAGGAGGAACACCGGUGGCGAAGGCGGGUCUCUGGGCAGUAACUGACGCUGAGGAGCGAAAGCGUGGGGA
Molecule: ribosomal RNA, 400 nt
Filed under: uncultured bacterium
Lineage: Bacteria
Description: bacterial SSU rRNA
Rfam family: Bacterial small subunit ribosomal RNA
Source: RNAcentral